Molecule: long non-coding RNA, 561 nt
Filed under: Rhinolophus ferrumequinum (greater horseshoe bat)
Lineage: Eukaryota; Metazoa; Chordata; Mammalia; Chiroptera; Rhinolophidae
Description: lncRNA (ENSRFEG00010010550.1)
Source: RNAcentral
CGCCUACGGCCAGAGUUCAAAUGUCCAGAGCGUUCCCAGAUCCCAGACAGACCAGAAGCGUCCCUAGCAACCCCCAGAACGCUGGGAGGGGAGUCGUUGUGGAAGGCUCACUGUCUUUCAAGGAUGUGACUGUGGACUUUACCUGGGAGGAAUGGCAGCUCCUGGUCCCCGAGCAGAAGGACCUGUACCCGGGAUGUGACGUUGGAGAACUACAGCCACCUGGUGUCAGUGGGGUUUCCGGCUAUCAAACCAGAGGCCCUCUUCAGGUUGGAGCAAGAGCCAUGGAGAGCAGAGGAAGAAAUCUCCAGUCACCCGCAUCCCGCAUUUCUGCCUGGACCAUCCAUAGCUACCAAGCAAAUCCUCUGAGCACUGUGGACCAGAGUCAGGUUUCAAAGGAUGAUGCAAGAGAAAAAGCCAGACCACCCAACACCUCACUUUAUCUGGACAUCCUGGAGAAACGUGGCCAGAAGACAGUUAAGAGUAACUGGGGAAUCAUAAUUUUUGAGUAUGGGCUCAGCAAGACCCCCAGAUGAUUUGUAUGCACAUUAAGUUUGAGAAGUG